AUUGAACGCUGGCGGCAGGCCUAACACAUGCAAGUCGAGCGGAUGAAGGGAGCUUGCUCCUGGAUUCAGCGGCGGACGGGUGAGUAAUGCCUAGGAAUCUGCCUGGUAGUGGGGGAUAACGUCCGGAAACGGGCGCUAAUACCGCACCCGUCCUGAGGGAGAAAGUGGGGGAUCUUCGGACCUCACGCUAUCAGAUGAGCCUAGGUCGGAUUAGCUAGUUGGUGGGGUAAAGGCCUACCAAGGCGACGAUCCGUAACUGGUCUGAGAGGAUGAUCAGUCACACUGGAACUGAGACACGGUCCAGACUCCUACGGGAGGCAGCAGUGGGGAAUAUUGGACAAUGGCCGAAGGCCUGAUCCAGCCAUGCCGCGUGUGUGAAGAAGGUCUUCGGAUUGUAAAGCACUUUAAGUUGGGAGGAAGGGCAGUAAGUUAAUACCUUGCUGUUUUGACGUUACCAACAGAAUAAGCACCGGCUAACUUCGUG
RNAcentral lists this ribosomal RNA (484 nucleotides) under uncultured bacterium. RNAcentral's name for it is "partial 16S ribosomal RNA". It matches the Rfam family "Bacterial small subunit ribosomal RNA", at positions 30 to 507 of the family's 1533-position model. The record is from RNAcentral.